UAAGUAAGUGGUGGAAAUUAAACCAAAUGGGAUAUCUUUAGUAAUUGCGAAUGAACAAGGAUAUGCUUAGCUAGACAAAUGGAGCUAUUGGCUUUGAAUUGUAUUUGUGGAAUGUAUUACCAACAGAGGUGCAGGUGCCAGCCUAUUAAAUAAAGCGUCAAUGAGGGUGAGAAUCCUGUUUGUCAUGUGCAGCCCUUUGUGCACGGUGUAUAUUUGCUGAGUCACACUCCUUGGCAUUGGAAUGCAAAGUGGGUGGUAAGUUUCAUGUACAGGUAAACAUGCAAUUGAGACUGAUAGCACACAAGUACCAUGAGGGAAAUAUGAAAAGGACUUUGAAAAGAGAAUUAAAUGAGUUUGUAUUUGCUGAACACAAAGUAAACAGACUUGAUUUGCUUGGUGGGAGUGUUGCACUUGCUUGACAAGAGCUGUGGGCUGUGGGUGUAAUGAUUCUUUCUUUGCAUGCCAGUUUCUAUGUGUACAUCUGAUUACCUUUGCACAUGAAUGAUAAGUCUCCUGUGGGGGGUGGAUUGCAUGUGCAUGUAAUGAUUUGUGUUUUGAUAAAUGUGUCUGGUGUAUGUGUGUGUGUUCCUGUGCUUGGGGAUGCUUCCUUCCUUGGACUUACAAGCCCUGACACACACAUGCUGGCAAAAUGCUUCUGCUUGACCCG
This 667-nucleotide ribosomal RNA is filed under the name Alexandrium fundyense. RNAcentral's name for it is "LSU rRNA". It matches the Rfam family "Eukaryotic large subunit ribosomal RNA", at positions 43 to 651 of the family's 3401-position model. Lineage: Eukaryota; Dinophyceae; Gonyaulacales; Pyrocystaceae. The record is from RNAcentral.